Molecule: ribosomal RNA, 253 nt
Filed under: uncultured bacterium
Lineage: Bacteria
Description: partial 16S ribosomal RNA
Rfam family: Bacterial small subunit ribosomal RNA
Source: RNAcentral
UACGGAGGGGGCUAGCGUUGUUCGGAAUUACUGGGCGUAAAGCGCACGUAGGCGGCUUUGCAAGUUAGAGGUGAAAGCCCGGGGCUCAACUCCGGAAUUGCCUUUAAAACUGCAUCGCUGGAAUUGUGGAGAGGUAAGUGGAAUUCCGAGUGUAGAGGUGAAAUUCGUAGAUAUUCGGAAGAACACCAGUGGCGAAGGCGACUUACUGGACACAUAUUGACGCUGAGGUGCGAAAGCGUGGGGAGCAAACAGG